UCAACAUCUGUUGAUGUAGCUGGAGUUAUUGCUAUAUGGGAUCCAACUAUUAUAAAUUAAACGACAUGUUUGAGACUUGGCUAAGGACUUGUAUAAAUCCUGUACGUGCAUGCAUAAUCAAAUAACAGGAUUUUAAACACAUUUAAAUAAAGUUGUAUACCAACCUUUACUACUACACUGGAUUUCACAUGGGCAAUACAAGGCGAAUUUAGGCCAGCAAGUUUCUCGAGAAUUGAAUCACUCCUCGGGAUAACGCACAUUCUUCGCACUGAUGGGGAUUCGAGAAAACUGAUGUGCAAAAACACUGCAUUUAACCUUAAACAUUGUAAACUUGCCACUGUAAAAGAUACUUCGUAAUAAACCUCACAACAAUGUAUGUACACUGCGCUCUGCUCAGCAAAUACGGCCGCUUGGCAUGGUUGUACGUCGAAAGCAUCCAUAUUUGAUAUUUUUUAUAAUAGCCGGAACUCUUUAAACGACAGAGGUCAAAUCACGAAUGAACACCGAUUGAAAACAAGUAUAAAAUGACUGCGUGUCACGUGACCCCCCUGUCCAACCUCCUCUG
Paramuricea clavata is the source of this 565-nucleotide non-coding RNA. The record is from the annotation of a GenBank genome assembly. Lineage: Eukaryota; Metazoa; Cnidaria; Anthozoa; Malacalcyonacea; Plexauridae.